AGGGGGCGCACUUCCUGUGUUCUGGGCUGGCCUUUUCCUCUCCCAGGUGCGCUUCCCUGCUUGAUCUGUGUACCCUGCUCUUUCUCCUUCAUUCCGCAGCCUCCUUUGCCCUGUGACCUGCAGGUACUGGACGGUCCCUAGAGAGGAUACCGGGACGCUCCUGAAGCCGCGAGAUGGAUGGGUCUUCCAUGAUACUGAAGGGAGAGCCACAUGUUGAUGCCCAGGACCAGCUGCCUCCUUGGUCUGAAAGGCCUGAUCGAGGCCAGGAUUGGCUAUGAGAGCUGGGAAAUGGGACCAUCUUUGAAGCCAUGGGAGAGGGUGAGAGCCACCAUCACUCAUGUUCUUGAAUGGGAACUGCCUGGAGACCCUGAAGAAGAAGGAGCCUGAAGGAGGAAGGAGGAGGCUGAGCCAUCCCGGGAACAUGGGCUGGAUGAGGCCAAGCCAGGAGACGACACCACCAGAUAGAAGUCACCAUUCAGGAUUUGGACUUUUCUGUGGAGAUCCUGGCCCCGAGAUCGAACCCUUCUCCCUGUGUUCCCGCAGGAGAUGGUGCUGGAGAUCCACCAGCUGUUCAUGGACCAUGAAUACCCAUGUCACCACAUCACUUCUCACUGCACCUGGGUGGCAGCACACUGGACCACGUCUCAGAGCUGCGCAGCAUGGCAGGGCUGCAGGCGGGCUUGCUGCUCCACGUGGUGGAAGAGCCCUGCACAAUGCACAAGGCCCACGGUGAUGAGUGCCACAUUUGAGACUGCUCAGGAGCCUGGACCCAGCUGAUGCAGCUCCUUGUCCUUCCUGAGCGUCUUCACUGACAGUGGCCUGAGAGACGGCAGGAGCAGAAAGACUUGGAGAUGGACCCCACCGACUGCACACCACCCAAGUACAUCCUGCUAGGGACCCUGGAACAGCCACUGUGUCCCCUGCAACCCCAGAACGGUGACUAAAAGCCCCAGUACUGGAACGAGGAGCUGCAGAUGAUGAGGGACCUACCCAACAAGAACCAACCUGAGCAGCUGCUUCAAGAAAAAGCCAUGUUCAAGGUGCCUGAAUCCCCUGGUAAGUGAGUGACAGCCUCACAGCCUCAGGCCCACCUGGCUCCUGCUGGAAGGUUUUCUUGUGCUCGGGAGAGAAGUGAGGGAAGCCGGCAGUCCCAGCCCUGUCAGGUGCCCUGAAGGCCCGUCAGGUUUGCCCUGCAAGGCCUUCUAGCAUUCUGCUUCCUGGGAGACCAUCCCCCACCUUUCUCCGGCCUCUGAGACUUUGAGUCCUUGGGAGGAGAAGGCCCUCCUUGCUAUCUGGGCUGAGUGGCCAGGGCCAUCCAGCUUCCCACCCUCCACUGACUGCCAUGGGGCCCUCCCCUGAGCACAUGGUGCCCAACUGUAGCCCUUCUAGGGCAGGGGCUCAUUGGCAGCACUUGCAGCUUGCUGGCACUUAAAAGUCAUUAGUGCGGUUACUGAGAGAAAUGAGGAAAAAAUAAUUGUUAAAAAAAAAAAAAAA
RNAcentral lists this long non-coding RNA (1494 nucleotides) under Homo sapiens (human). RNAcentral describes it as "novel transcript". The record is from RNAcentral. Lineage: Eukaryota; Metazoa; Chordata; Mammalia; Primates; Hominidae.